This 1739-nucleotide unclassified non-coding RNA is filed under the name uncultured fungus. RNAcentral describes it as "sequence contains 18S rRNA gene, ITS1, 5.8S rRNA gene, ITS2, 28S rRNA gene". The stretch from base 807 to 1739 matches the Rfam family "Eukaryotic large subunit ribosomal RNA", at positions 1 to 961 of the family's 3401-position model. The record is from RNAcentral. Lineage: Eukaryota; Fungi.
GGAAGGAUCACUGAAAUCCGUCUGUAAACAACACUGGUCACUUUUGUGUGUGGGCUUUUGGAUUGUUUUUUAACAGACCAGAAGCCCCAGGGUCCGGGCCUGGCCUUGACUGGUUAACACCGGCUUGGCUAGUGCCUGGGGUGGGCUGGCAAGAGCUCCCCUGAAACAAAUGCUUGCUGUCCUUGCUAGGCAGCUUGAAGUCCUAUAUCUGAAGGCCUGCUUGCUUGCUUAGGCUUGCUUGUGGUGUCUGGGGGCGGGAAGCUUAGCCUUGCUUCCUACUUGUCAUUUUAUUAUUUUUAAAUAAUUCUUUGGCACAGUAGGGGUAGGCUCUGUUUCUUUUUUAUUAUUUAAACUCUUUUAAACUGAAACUUAAGACCAGUCAUAGCAGCUCUGCUGUUGUGCAAACAAAGACAACUCUCAACAACGGAUGUCUUGGCUCUUGCAACGAUGAAGAACGCAGCGAAAUGCGAUACGUAGUGUGAAUUGCAGAAUUCCGUGAACCAUCGAAUCUUUGAAUGCAUAUUGCGCCUGGUGCCCCAUUUGGUGGCUCCAGACAUGUCUGCCUCAGCGUCGUGAUGGACCCUUGUCCCUUCUUAUUUUUGUUUACAAUAAUAAGUUGGCACAGAUCUGGCAGUCUCAAAGGCUUUUAAUUUAUUAAAUAGCCUCUGGGUCUGCUGAAGCUCAUUGACUCCAAAUAAAGGACCCAUUCCAAAGGGACAAUAGCUGGUUAGGCUCUUAACAAGCUACUUGCUAGUGUCCUGGGCCCUUUACAAUAUUGCGAGUCUGCAGGAAAAACAAUCAUCUUUUGACCUGAGUUUAGGCAAGGCUACCCGCUGAACUUAAGCAUAUCAAUAAGCGGAGGAAAAGAAACUAACUAGGAUUCCCUUAGUAACGGCGAGUGAACCGGGAUAAGCCCAACUUGAAAAUCUCCAGCCCUUGGCUGGCGAAUUGUAGUCUAUAGAAGUACUGCCUGAGACCGGCCUUGCCCAAGUUUCCUGGAACGGAACGCUUCAGAGGGUGAGAGCCCCGUAGGCGAGGUGCAGGUUUCAUCACGGCAUGCUUUCCCAGAGUCGGGUUGUUUGAGAAUGCAGCCCUAAUUUGGUGGUAAAUCCCAUCUAAGGCUAAAUACUGGCAAGAGACCGAUAGCGAACAAGUACCGCGAGGGAAAGAUGAAAAGAACUUUGAAAGAGAGUUAAAAGUGCCUGAAAUUGUUGAGGGGGAAGUGUUUGAAAGUCGCGGGUGCUCCCAGGCUUAUGCUGCUCCAUCCGGAUUAGCUGAAGGCACUGGGAGCUGGUCAGCAUGGGCUAGACCUGCGGGAUAAAACCAGAAGUUGCUAUUCUGGCUAUGCCGUGGGCCUGGCUGAGGCUGAAGGUUGCUCUUGUCCUCCGGGAUCUGCAUCCUCACGAUGCUGGCGGAAGGCUUUCAAACAGCCCGUCUUGAAACACGGACCAAGGAGUCUAACAUGUAUGCGAGUUGGUGGGUGGAAAACCCACGAAGCGCAAGUAACCUGACUGGUGGGAUGGCUCACGCCUGCACCAUCGACCGACCAUGAUCUUCUGUGAAAGGUUCGAGUACGAGCAUACCUGUUGGGACCCGAAAGAUGGUGAACUAUGCCUGAGCAGGGCGAAGCCAGAGGAAACUCUGGUGGAGGCUCGCAGAUGUGCUGACGUGCAAAUCGCUUUUCGGACUUGGGUAUAGGGGCGAAAGACUAAUCGAACCAUCUAGUAGCUGGUUCCCUC